RNAcentral lists this ribosomal RNA (770 nucleotides) under uncultured archaeon. RNAcentral's name for it is "bacterial SSU rRNA". It matches the Rfam family "Archaeal small subunit ribosomal RNA", at positions 85 to 853 of the family's 1478-position model. The record is from RNAcentral.
ACGGCUCAGUAACACGUGGAUAACCUGCCCUUGGNUCCGGCAUAACCCCGGGAAACUGGGGAUAAUUCCGGAUAACGCAUAUAUGCUGGAAUGCUUUAUGCGUAAAAUGGAUUCGUCUGCCCAAGGAUGGGUCUGCGGCCUAUCAGGUAGUAGUGGGUGUAAUGUACNUACUAGCCGACAACGGGUACGGGUUGUGAGAGCAAGAGCCCGGAGAUGGAUUCUGAGACAUGAAUCCAGGCCCUACGGGGCGCAGCAGGCGCGAAAACUUUACAAUGCGGGAAACCGUGAUAAGGGGACACCGAGUGCCAGCAUCAUAUGCUGGCUGUCCAGGUGUGUAGACUACACCCGUUAGCAAGGGCCGGGCAAGACCGGUGCCAGCCGCCGCGGUAACACCGGCGGCCCGAGUGGUGAUCGUGAUUAUUGGGUCUAAAGGGUCCGUAGCCGGUUUGGUCAGUCCUCCGGGAAAUCUGACGGCUCAACCGUUAGGCUUUCGGGGGAUACUGCCAGGCUUGGAACCGGGAGAGGUAAGAGGUACUACAGGGGUAGGAGUGAAAUCUUGUAAUCCCUGUGGGACCACCUGUGGCGAAGGCGUCUUACCAGAACGGGUUCGACGGUGAGGGACGAAAGCUGGGGGCACGAACCGGAUUAGAUACCCGGGUAGUCCCAGCCGUAAACGAUGCUCGCUAGGUGUCAGGCAUGGCGCGACCGUGUCUGGUGCCGCAGGGAAGCCGUGAAGCGAGCCACCUGGGAAGUACGGCCGCAAGGCUGAA